AGACAGACAGUAGUUCAGUCUCUACAUCAAGCAGUGCGCCAAGGAGUGUGGCGCUUGUAGCUGACAAAGAUACUGAUAGGUUUCAAAAGAUUGAAGAUGACAUUGGUAUGCUGGUCAGGAAUUUUGGUAAGAUGAAUUCUUCUGGUGGGAGGAAUCAGUAUGGUCGCCAGGGAGGUGAUCGUGACAAUGGCAGAAGGAGAG
Molecule: long non-coding RNA, 201 nt
Filed under: Brassica rapa (field mustard)
Lineage: Eukaryota; Viridiplantae; Streptophyta; Magnoliopsida; Brassicales; Brassicaceae
Description: long non-coding RNA (BRAP_LNC006556)
Source: RNAcentral